This 770-nucleotide ribosomal RNA is filed under the name uncultured bacterium. RNAcentral's name for it is "bacterial SSU rRNA". It matches the Rfam family "Bacterial small subunit ribosomal RNA", at positions 39 to 782 of the family's 1533-position model. The record is from RNAcentral.
GCGGCGUGCUUAACACAUGCAAGUCGAACGCGAAAGUCUUCUCUCGAGAAGAUGAGUAGAGUGGCGCACGGGUGAGUAACGCGUAAAUAAUCUACCCUUGCAUCUGGGAUAACCCACCGAAAGGUGUGCUAAUACCGGAUACGUUCUUUUUAUUGCGAGAUAGAAAGAAGAAAGGUGGCCUCUGAUAUAAGCUACUGUGCAGGGAGGAGUUUGCGUACCAUUAGCUAGUUGGUAGGGUAAUGGCCUACCAAGGCGACGAUGGUUAGCGGGUCUGAGAGGAUGAUCCGCCACACUGGAACUGGAACACGGACCAGACUCCUACGGGAGGCAGCAGUGAGGAAUAUUGCGCAAUGGGGGCAACCCUGACGCAGCGACGCCGCGUGGAUGAUGAAGGCCUUCGGGUCGUAAAAUCCUGUCAGAUGGAAAGAAGUGUUAUAUGGUUAAUAGCUGUAUAGCUUGACGGUACCAUCAAAGGAAGCACCGGCUAACUCCGUGCCAGCAGCCGCGGUAAUACGGAGGGUGCAAGCGUUGUUCGGAAUUACUGGGCGUAAAGCGCGCGUAGGUGGUCUGUUAUGUCAGAUGUGAAAGUCCACGGCUCAACCGUGGAAGUGCAUUUGAAACUGGCAGACUUGAGUACUGGAGGGGGUAGUGGAAUUCCCGGUGUAGAGGUGAAAUUCGUAGAUAUCGGGAGGAAUACCGGUGGCGAAGGCGACUACCUGGCCAGAUACUGACACUGAGGUGCGAAAGCGUGGGGAGCAAACAGGAUUAGA